RNAcentral lists this ribosomal RNA (327 nucleotides) under Bactrododema sp. SB0406. Its description in RNAcentral is "partial large subunit ribosomal RNA". Lineage: Eukaryota; Metazoa; Arthropoda; Insecta; Phasmatodea; Diapheromeridae. The record is from RNAcentral.
UAUUUUAAUGGCCGCGGUAUUUUGACCGUGCAAAGGUAGCAUAAUCAUUAGUCUAUUAAUUGUGGACUUGUAUGAAUGGUUGGACGAGAUAUAAGCUGUCUCAUAUAAAUUAUUUAAAANUUAAAUUNUGAGUUAAAAUGGUUAAAUUUUUUUAUUGGACGAAAAGACCCUAUAGAUCUUUAUUAUUUAUUUGAUUUUGUUAUUUGGUUUAUUGUUGUCAUGAAUUAAAUGAAUAAUUUUGUUGGGGUGACAUGGAAAUAUAAUUAACUCUUUAUUGUUUGUAUACAAANAUGUUUGUAUAUUUGACCUUUUAUUAUUGUUAUAAGA